RNAcentral lists this unclassified non-coding RNA (169 nucleotides) under uncultured Acremonium. Its description in RNAcentral is "sequence contains ITS2". The record is from RNAcentral. Lineage: Eukaryota; Fungi; Ascomycota.
CAACCCUCGUCCCCCCCUUGGGGGGGGCGGUGUUGGGGAUGGGCCUGCCCUAGGGCCGGCCCGCCCCUAAAUGUAGUGGCGACCACGCCGUAGCCUCCUCUGCGUAGUAGUAACUCACCUCGCGGGCGGAGAGCGGUGCGGUCCGCCGUAAAACCCCCUACUUUCUCAA